Molecule: long non-coding RNA, 1994 nt
Organism: Alosa alosa (allis shad)
Lineage: Eukaryota; Metazoa; Chordata; Actinopteri; Clupeiformes; Clupeidae
Exons: 2
Source: RefSeq, a predicted model, not a curated record
CCAAAAGCGCACGUUAUGUAAAUAGGCAGGUCAGAUAGGCAGGUCUUAAAAACAUAUAGCCCAGGGGCCUCAGGUGGUAUUAAGGCGCCCUGGUUACAGCCUCUGGAAAAAAGCUGUACCUAAGCCUGCUGGUGCUCCUGUAUCACCUGCCAGACGGGAGUAGACUCAAAAGACCAUGGUUUGGGUGGGUGGCAUCCUUGACAUUGGAUUUGGCUUUGUUUUUAUUGCGUUUAUGAUAGUGUUUAUCACAUGUGUCGUGGAUGGAGGGGAGUUGAGAGUCAAUAGUCUUUUGGGCUGAUUUGGGCUGCCUUGCGAUCAGCAGCGUUUCAGUUGCCAUACCAUACAGAGAUGCAGUUAGUGAGUAUGCUCUCAAUGGUACAACGGUAGAAGUUAGAAUCCUAGGACAUAGGUGUGCUUUCUUCAGGGUUCGUAGAAAGUGAAGGCGCUGAUGCACAAUUAUCUCCUUGGUCUUCUGGGUAUUGAGUGCCAGGUUAUUGUUUUUGCACCACAUAGCUAGGUGCUGAACCUCAUCUCGCUGUUUCAUCCUCCUCAUUGAUCAGGCCCACCACUGUGGUGUCAUCUGCGAACUUGAUUAUAGCAUUGGAGACAUAAACAGGGGCGCAGUCGUGGGUGAAGAGGGAGUAGAGCAGAGGGCUCAACACACAGCCCUGCGGCACGCCAGUGUUCUGGGUGAUGGUGGAGGAGGAGAGACGUCCUAAUUUAACAGUCUGGGGUCUGUUAGUAAGGAAGUCCAUAAUCCAGUUGCAGAAUGAGUUGCUGAUGCCAAGCUGGCCGAGCUUGGAGAUCAGCUUGGAGGGGAUCACAGUGUUGAAUGCUGAACUGAAGUCAAUGAACAGCAUUCUAACAUAUGUAUUGGGAAUGUCUAGAUGGGUAAGUGCCAGAUGGAGCGCUGUGGAGAUGGCAUCCUCUGUUGAUCUGUUGCGUCGGUAGGCAAAUUGAUACGGGUCCAUUGUUGCAGACAGACAUGAUUUCAGCUGUGAGAGGACCAGCCUCUCAAAACAUUUCGCAAUAAUGGGUGUCAGUGCAACCGGGCGGAAGUCGUUCAGUUCUUUGGCUGUGGACUGUUUAGGCACCGGAACAAUAGUGGCAGAUUUAAGACUGUUGAGUGGGCCAGAGACAUGUUAAAGAUGUUGGUGAAGACACCAGUCAACUGCUCCGAGCAGGAUCGCAACACACGUCCGGGAACUCCAUCAGGGCCAGCAGCUUUCCGAGCAUUCACUCUGCCGAGGACUCUGAGGUGGAAAAUUGGAGUGGGCAUGCGACACGAGAGUUUGAUCAGGCACAAGGAGGCAGGAGGGAGAGGAGGAAACACACAGGCAGCACGCCACCGGGAAAAGAGGGCUGGAGUGGGGUGCCGCGUCUGGAGAACGGGGCCUGAAGCCUGAUUCCACGCAUUUUAAAGCUAAGUAAAGGAAAGUCCAUCUGCCGAUAGCGAAGUGAGAGUGGGAUAUGAGUGUUAUCUGCUUGCGACUUAGGAGCUCUCCCUCUCUUCUAGUGUGCGGCUGUAACCUACGCAGUGAGCCUGCCUGCAACCGCAAGACAACGUGACGCCAACGGCCGGAUGAGUUUAGUUCAACACACACUAAAGCUAAGUAAAGGAAAGUUGGUUUACCUGCGUGCGUGUGUAUAUAAUAAUUGUCUACUGGGGUGCGACGGAGACUGAGAGCCUCUUUUUGUUGUCCUUAGAGUGUCAGAGUGACUGGGGCCUGCCUGUAAAAGUAAGACGACGUGGCGCCGGCUGCCAUAUGUGGAGUUUCACCCUACGUUCGCUAUUGACAGGGUGUUUCGGAAUGACUGGAGACUAAACGGACAUGACACCAUAUGCCUAAUUUCCCUAUUGAACUCUGGGAGUUUUAUCUUUAGCCCUGUGCCAUUGGACUGAAUGUUUUAUGGACUCUUUGUGAUAUAAUGUGCAUAUUUUAUGGGGGAUGUGUUGUGUAAAUUUAAUAAAUUGUGAAACGGUCUUUCCAUUC